Molecule: ribosomal RNA, 2933 nt
Filed under: Escherichia coli
Lineage: Bacteria; Pseudomonadati; Pseudomonadota; Gammaproteobacteria; Enterobacterales; Enterobacteriaceae
Also listed under: 2 other names
Description: bacterial LSU rRNA
Rfam family: Bacterial large subunit ribosomal RNA
Source: RNAcentral
GGGUUGUGAGGUUAAGCGACUAAGCGUACACGGUGGAUGCCCUGGCAGUCAGAGGCGAUGAAGGACGUGCUAAUCUGCGAUAAGCGUCGGUAAGGUGAUAUGAACCGUUAUAACCGGCGAUUUCCGAAUGGGGAAACCCAGUGUGAUUCGUCACACUAUCAUUAACUGAAUCCAUAGGUUAAUGAGGCGAACCGGGGGAACUGAAACAUCUAAGUACCCCGAGGAAAAGAAAUCAACCGAGAUUCCCCCAGUAGCGGCGAGCGAACGGGGAGCAGCCCAGAGCCUGAAUCAGUGUGUGUGUUAGUGGAAGCGUCUGGAAAGGCGCGCGAUACAGGGUGACAGCCCCGUACACAAAAAUGCACAUACUGUGAGCUCGAUGAGUAGGGCGGGACACGUGGUAUCCUGUCUGAAUAUGGGGGGACCAUCCUCCAAGGCUAAAUACUCCUGACUGACCGAUAGUGAACCAGUACCGUGAGGGAAAGGCGAAAAGAACCCCGGCGAGGGGAGUGAAAAAGAACCUGAAACCGUGUACGUACAAGCAGUGGGAGCACAGAGCAAUCUGUGUGACUGCGUACCUUUUGUAUAAUGGGUCAGCGACUUAUAUUCUGUAGCAAGGUUAACCGAAUAGGGGAGCCGAAGGGAAACCGAGUCUUAACUGGGCGUUAAGUUGCAGGGUAUAGACCCGAAACCCGGUGAUCUAGCCAUGGGCAGGUUGAAGGUUGGGUAACACUAACUGGAGGACCGAACCGACUAAUGUUGAAAAAUUAGCGGAUGACUUGUGGCUGGGGGUGAAAGGCCAAUCAAACCGGGAGAUAGCUGGUUCUCCCCGAAAGCUAUUUAGGUAGCGCCUCGUGAAUUCAUCUCCGGGGGUAGAGCACUGUUUCGGCAAGGGGGUCAUCCCGACUUACCAACCCGAUGCAAACUGCGAAUACCGGAGAAUGUUAUCACGGGAGACACACGGCGGGUGCUAACGUCCGUCGUGAAGAGGGAAACAACCCAGACCGCCAGCUAAGGUCCCAAAGUCAUGGUUAAGUGGGAAACGAUGUGGGAAGGCCCAGACAGCCAGGAUGUUGGCUUAGAAGCAGCCAUCAUUUAAAGAAAGCGUAAUAGCUCACUGGUCGAGUCGGCCUGCGCGGAAGAUGUAACGGGGCUAAACCAUGCACCGAAGCUGCGGCAGCGACGCUGAUGCGUUGUUGGGUAGGGGAGCGUUCUGUAAGCCUGUGAAGGUGUGCUGUGAGGCAUGCUGGAGGUAUCAGAAGUGCGAAUGCUGACAUAAGUAACGAUAAAGCGGGUGAAAAGCCCGCUCGCCGGAAGACCAAGGGUUCCUGUCCAACGUUAAUCGGGGCAGGGUGAGUCGACCCCUAAGGCGAGGCCGAAAGGCGUAGUCGAUGGGAAACAGGUUAAUAUUCCUGUACUUGGUGUUACUGCGAAGGGGGGACGGAGAAGGCUAUGUUGGCCGGGCGACGGUUGUCCCGGUUUAAGCGUGUAGGCUGGUUUUCCAGGCAAAUCCGGAAAAUCAAGGCUGAGGCGUGAUGACGAGGCACUACGGUGCUGAAGCAACAAAUGCCCUGCUUCCAGGAAAAGCCUCUAAGCAUCAGGUAACAUCAAAUCGUACCCCAAACCGACACAGGUGGUCAGGUAGAGAAUACCAAGGCGCUUGAGAGAACUCGGGUGAAGGAACUAGGCAAAAUGGUGCCGUAACUUCGGGAGAAGGCACGCUGAUAUGUAGGUGAAGUCCCUCGCGGAUGGAGCUGAAAUCAGUCGAAGAUACCAGCUGGCUGCAACUGUUUAUUAAAAACACAGCACUGUGCAAACACGAAAGUGGACGUAUACGGUGUGACGCCUGCCCGGUGCCGGAAGGUUAAUUGAUGGGGUCAGCGCAAGCGAAGCUCUUGAUCGAAGCCCCGGUAAACGGCGGCCGUAACUAUAACGGUCCUAAGGUAGCGAAAUUCCUUGUCGGGUAAGUUCCGACCUGCACGAAUGGCGUAAUGAUGGCCAGGCUGUCUCCACCCGAGACUCAGUGAAAUUGAACUCGCUGUGAAGAUGCAGUGUACCCGCGGCAAGACGGAAAGACCCCGUGAACCUUUACUAUAGCUUGACACUGAACAUUGAGCCUUGAUGUGUAGGAUAGGUGGGAGGCUUAGAAGUGUGGACGCCAGUCUGCAUGGAGCCGACCUUGAAAUACCACCCUUUAAUGUUUGAUGUUCUAACGUUGACCCGUAAUCCGGGUUGCGGACAGUGUCUGGUGGGUAGUUUGACUGGGGCGGUCUCCUCCUAAAGAGUAACGGAGGAGCACGAAGGUUGGCUAAUCCUGGUCGGACAUCAGGAGGUUAGUGCAAUGGCAUAAGCCAGCUUGACUGCGAGCGUGACGGCGCGAGCAGGUGCGAAAGCAGGUCAUAGUGAUCCGGUGGUUCUGAAUGGAAGGGCCAUCGCUCAACGGAUAAAAGGUACUCCGGGGAUAACAGGCUGAUACCGCCCAAGAGUUCAUAUCGACGGCGGUGUUUGGCACCUCGAUGUCGGCUCAUCACAUCCUGGGGCUGAAGUAGGUCCCAAGGGUAUGGCUGUUCGCCAUUUAAAGUGGUACGCGAGCUGGGUUUAGAACGUCGUGAGACAGUUCGGUCCCUAUCUGCCGUGGGCGCUGGAGAACUGAGGGGGGCUGCUCCUAGUACGAGAGGACCGGAGUGGACGCAUCACUGGUGUUCGGGUUGUCAUGCCAAUGGCACUGCCCGGUAGCUAAAUGCGGAAGAGAUAAGUGCUGAAAGCAUCUAAGCACGAAACUUGCCCCGAGAUGAGUUCUCCCUGACUCCUUGAGAGUCCUGAAGGAACGUUGAAGACGACGACGUUGAUAGGCCGGGUGUGUAAGCGCAGCGAUGCGUUGAGCUAACCGGUACUAAUGAACCGUGAGGCUUAACCUUACAACGCCGAAGGUGUUU